Small nucleolar RNA from Penaeus monodon (black tiger shrimp), 126 nucleotides. RefSeq annotates it as small nucleolar RNA SNORA49. The transcript has a single exon. NCBI's taxonomy places the organism in Eukaryota, Metazoa, Arthropoda, Malacostraca, Decapoda, Penaeidae. The record is from RefSeq and is a predicted model, not a curated record.
CCCCCCCCCCCCUUUGGGGGGGCCCCCUUUUUUUCUUAAAAGGGGGGGCCCCCCCCCCGGGGGGGGGGAAAAAAAAAAAAACCCAAAACCCCCCCCCCUUUUUUGGGGGGGCCAAAGGGAAAAAGG